RNAcentral lists this ribosomal RNA (444 nucleotides) under uncultured bacterium. Its description in RNAcentral is "partial 16S ribosomal RNA". It matches the Rfam family "Bacterial small subunit ribosomal RNA", at positions 338 to 795 of the family's 1533-position model. The record is from RNAcentral.
CCUACGGGAGGCAGCAGUGAGGAAUAUUGGUCAAUGGGCGCGAGCCUGAACCAGCCAAGUAGCGUGAAGGAUGACUGCCCUACGGAUUGUAAACUUCUUUUCUCAGGGACGAAGCAAGUGACGGUAUCUGCGGAAUAAGCCACGGUAAACAACGUGCCAGCAGCCGCGGUAAUACGCAGGUGGCAAGCGUUAUCCGGAUGUACGGGGUGUAAAGGGCGUGUAGGCGGGGACGCAAGUAGGAUGUAAAAACCACGGGCUCAACCUGUGGCCUGCAUUUGAAACUGGAUUUCUUGAGUACUGGAGAGGCAGACGGAAUGCGUGGUGUAGCGGUGAAAUGCGUAGAUAGUAGGAAGAACGCCAGUGGCGAAGGCGGUCUGCUGGACAGCAACUGACGCUGAGGCGCGAAAGCGUGGGGAGCAAACAGGAUUAGAUACCCCGGUAGUC